This 257-nucleotide ribosomal RNA is filed under the name uncultured bacterium. RNAcentral describes it as "partial 16S ribosomal RNA". It matches the Rfam family "Bacterial small subunit ribosomal RNA", at positions 524 to 777 of the family's 1533-position model. The record is from RNAcentral.
UACAGGGGGUGCAAACGUUGCUCGGAAUCAUUGGGCGUAAAGCGCACGUAGGCGGUUCGUUAUGUCGGAUGUGAAAGCCCUUGGCUUAACCCGAGGAAGUGCAUCCGAAACUGGCGAGCUAGAGUACUAAAGAGGAUCGGCGGAAUUCCCGGUGUAGAGGUGAAAAUUCGUAGAUAUCGGGAGGAACACCGGUGGCGAAGGCGGCGAUCUGGGUAGAUACUGACGCUGAGGUGCGAAAGCGUGGGGAGCAAACAGGG